UACGGGAGGCAGCAGUGGGGAAUAUUGCACAAUGGGCGCAAGCCUGAUGCAGCCAUGCCGCGUGUAUGAAGAAGGCCUUCGGGUUGUAAAGUACUUUCAGUCGUGAGGAAGGUGUUAAGGUUAAUAACCUUAGCAAUUGACGUUAGCGACAGAAGAAGCACCGGCUAACUCCGUGCCAGCAGCCGCGGUAAUACGGAGGGUGCGAGCGUUAAUCGGAAUUACUGGGCGUAAAGGGCACGCAGGCGGUUAAUUAAGUUGGAUGUGAAAUCCCCGGGCUUAACCUGGGAAUGGCAUUCAAGCUGGUUAGCUAGAGUCUUGUAGAGGGGGUUAGAAUUCCAUGUGUAGCGGUGAAAUGCGUAGAGAUGUGGAGGAAUACCGGUGGCGAAGGCGGCCCCUGGACAAAGACUGACGCUCAUGUGCGAAAGCGUGGGGAGCAAACG
Molecule: ribosomal RNA, 440 nt
Filed under: uncultured bacterium
Lineage: Bacteria
Description: bacterial SSU rRNA
Rfam family: Bacterial small subunit ribosomal RNA
Source: RNAcentral